Molecule: non-coding RNA, 24 nt
Filed under: Arabidopsis thaliana (thale cress)
Lineage: Eukaryota; Viridiplantae; Streptophyta; Magnoliopsida; Brassicales; Brassicaceae
Source: RNAcentral
UGGGUUAUAUGGUGGAUGUAUUUG